CAACGCCGCGUGGAGGACGACGGCCUUCGGUUGUAACUCCUUUUGGUCGGGACGAGGAAGGACGGUACCGAUCGAAUAAGCUUCGGCUAACUACGUGC
RNAcentral lists this ribosomal RNA (98 nucleotides) under uncultured bacterium. Its description in RNAcentral is "partial 16S ribosomal RNA". It matches the Rfam family "Bacterial small subunit ribosomal RNA", at positions 392 to 508 of the family's 1533-position model. The record is from RNAcentral.